Long non-coding RNA from Monomorium pharaonis (pharaoh ant), 2361 nucleotides. RefSeq lists it as uncharacterized. NCBI's taxonomy places the organism in Eukaryota, Metazoa, Arthropoda, Insecta, Hymenoptera, Formicidae. The record is from RefSeq and is a predicted model, not a curated record. The transcript is spliced from 3 exons.
CUGUAAGAAAAAUUUGAACAUAUUAACGUUACCCUUUCCUAUACGUCAUAUCCGCGAUAUCUACGUCAUCUACGUGAUAUUUGCUACAAGCUUUUACAUACGCGCCAAUUUUAAAUUUUAUUGAAAUUAUUUUGCCCUUUUCGCGUCUUCUGCAAACAAAUUCUUUCGUAUUUCUUUAAAUUUCUCUAGAAAAUAUCAAGUACAACAUUGUAGCUGUCUAAAACAUGCAUGAAAAGCACCAAAUUUUCAUUGCCUAAUCAUCUAAUCGUCCGUACUUGAAAUGUUCAGUUCAAACGGAUCACUGUUUCGCGCGCGCGCGCUUACGUGGCCCGCGAGGCCGCCAUGACACUUUCAUGGAGCGCGUCGGUUGAGAACAUGUACGAGCGCGGAUGCUCCUCGUUUUUGCUCGUUUUAUCGCGGAAAAAGUGUGUGACAAACGGAAAUUCUUGUCGGGAGUGGUGACUAGAGUGAUGGGCGAUCACGGGGAAGUGUGGAUUCCCGCGGAUGUGCACGAUGGACUUGGAUAUUCGCAAUCGACGUUGCGUCGUAGCAUAUCGUUGUAGCAGUAUUCCUGAUGAAACUAAUGCGGAGUAUUUCUAAAACGGAAUUUGCAACCAGUGGAGCAACCGGUGAAGCAAAUUAUACAAUACCCUAGCUGGUAUAUCUGAAGAUAUAUUUAGCUAGGGUACAACGACUAGUGAGUAAAUUAAUAUUUUUUAUACGUACAUAUAACAAUAUUGAUAUCAUCUGCUGUCUUUUUAUUUGCUAUUAUUUGUGUUAUAAUUAUUGAAAACCAUGCUUUGACAAUCAUCUUUUUAUUUUGAAUUUGCAUUUCUGUGAGUAAAUAAUAAAAUACAAAAUAUUUUUUUCUUGUUUUAACAAAAAGAAUUUCAAAUUUUGCACACAUUUUAUUUAAUAAAUCACGAAAUUAUGCAAUGUAGACAAUUUAGAUUAUAUAACAUGUAUGUAGAAAAUAAAAUUCUCUGCGGAUGCAGAUGAAACAAUGUAUUUAUUGGAAAUAAAAAUACUGUGAAUAUCAUAUUUAUUGUAACUGUAACGUAUAUGAAUGUUUUUUAUUCAUUUUUAUUAAAUAAAUUUAUAUAAAAUAGCACAAUGUUUUUACAAAUGAGCGAUUGUCAAAGUACGGUUUCAAAUGCUGUUACGACGAUGAUGCGGUAAAAAAACUAUGAUUAUUGAUACAAUGCUUAUACAGCGAUUGGUAUAAUCAACUCGCUUUUAUGGUGCACGUUUCGUCAAACGGUUCUCUGUUCUUUCGUCAGGCAUCGUAAAGUUUGAAGGCCUUUUAAACACGACGCGUUUCACGAAAAGAAACUUUCUUGCACAGUCGAGAAAAAAGUAUCGAUACAUUAUAGCUUUUCUUACUGCAGUUUCGUUAUAUAACUUUUAUAAUUACAUGAAAAUUCUUUAAACUUAUUUUAUUUUAACAGGUUGAGAAAAUUAGUCAAAUUAGCUCUAUUAAAACUAUGUAGCUGUAAUUUUUAUGACGAUUAAUUAAAAAUUGUUUAAAAUGCGUUAAAAAACGUUUCGGUAAAUCCUACAAAUAAUAUUCUCAAUUUUAUAGUAAAUACUAUUUUUGUCUUAGAGUUUUUUACAAUUAAUAAUUUGCAUUACAUAAUCAGAAUUUAUUAAUAUUAGAGAAAUAUAUAUUAUUUUCAAUAUUGUAGAAAUACACGUGAUGUAUUAGAACUUUUCACUCUGUUUAAUAUUAGCCGUUUAGCGCAAAAUUAUGCUACGUGAUUCGAAACUGUUCUUUCAAUACGGAAAAGUAUAUAAGCGGUACAGAGAUAGGAAAAAGUAGCACUCAAUAAUCGAGAGGACGACCGAUUGGUGAUUUACUUGGUCGACUUGGAAAUACGGUUUACCGCAGUAACUAUGGACAGGGAUGGACGAGAGGGAUGGUGGGACAAGGGAAAGGAUACUUUGGAAUGGUAAUGAUAAUGGUAAUGGUGCCAGGGCAGAAUGUUGGAAACGGAUUAUACGAGUAUCCUUUUCUUGUCCGAUACUUUCUUCAACGUCAUCUUUGCCCGAGUCCAUUUACAGUUAAGGACAGGACGGGGAUGAAAUCAAGUAUCCCGACUUUUGUCUCUCACGGUCAUUGACAUUUAACAUUCGAAAUCUGUGACCUGUUGUCACUGUCGUUAGUUGAUUCUUGAUUUCGCAGUCGGUUGUCACAUUCUCAAAUCAAUCAGCGAUGAUAUCAAUAUUUUCCUGCUUACAAUACAUAUUUAUGUUUUUAUAUGUAAUCAUUUAAAUAUCGUACUUAAUCUUUUUAGCACAAAGCAUGAAUAUUAUAAAUAAAAGAUAAUUUCUUAAGAUUAUGGAGUUUUUUAAAUAAUUUCU